This 60-nucleotide microRNA precursor is filed under the name Centruroides sculpturatus (bark scorpion). RNAcentral describes it as "Csc-Mir-96-P3w_pre stem-loop". The record is from RNAcentral. Lineage: Eukaryota; Metazoa; Arthropoda; Arachnida; Scorpiones; Buthidae.
AAUGGCACUGGAAGAAUUCACGGCUCUGUUGUCAACCCGUGAUUUCUCUAGUGCUAUGAA